RNAcentral lists this ribosomal RNA (497 nucleotides) under uncultured bacterium. RNAcentral's name for it is "partial 16S ribosomal RNA". It matches the Rfam family "Bacterial small subunit ribosomal RNA", at positions 28 to 507 of the family's 1533-position model. The record is from RNAcentral.
GAUGAACGCUGGCGGCGUGCCUAAUACAUGCAAGUCGAGCGAACAGAUGAGGAGCUUGCUCCUCUGACGUUAGCGGCGGACGGGUGAGUAACACGUGGAUAACCUACCUAUAAGACUGGGAUAACUUCGGGAAACCGGAGCUAAUACCGGAUAAUAUAUUGAACCGCAUGGUUCAAUAGUGAAAGACGGUUUUGCUGUCACUUAUAGAUGGAUCCGCGCCGCAUUAGCUAGUUGGUAAGGUAACGGCUUACCAAGGCAACGAUGCGUAGCCGACCUGAGAGGGUGAUCAGCCACACUGGAACUGAGACACGGUCCAGACUCCUACGGGAGGCAGCAGUAGGGAAUCUUCCGCAAUGGGCGAAAGCUUGACGGAGCAACGCCGCGUGAGUGAUGAAGGUCUUCGGAUCGUAAAACUCUGUUAUUAGGGAAGAACAAAUGUGUAAGUAACUAGGCACGUCUUGACGGUACCUAAUCAGAAAGCCACGGCUAACUACGUG